GGCUUGGGCUCUGACCUGGAAGCCGAACUCUGCUGCAGGCACGGAGUCUCCAUGAAGAGCACACGGGGAGAGAAGAUGCUUCACAGGAGCCCUGGAUCUCCCUGGCACAUGGAGUACCUUGGAGGAGUGUAAGGGCAGCCAGGAAAGUUCUGAGAUUGCUACAGGACAAAAUCUUGUGCUUCUGAGCUCUGCAAUGAAGUUUUAAUCACCCCAAUAUACAUCUUUCCACGACAUAUAUUUUUCUGUCCACCAAAGACAUAAUGGCUGCUCCUUUUAUGGGAAACCAGGAUUUAAUCCAGCAAACCAAAUGACAGAAUCUGAGACCAUCCAAUGUCCUGCUCUGCCAAAAACAUCCUGUGGAUAUUUUAAGGCCCACCAAAGGCUCUCCCAAGACUGUUUUCCCCUAUCACACCCAUAAGCUCCCAGAUGGCAUCCUGUAUCCACCGACACAGAAAAUAAUUUCCCAGUAUUUUCUUUAAUGAAUGACCUAUUAUGAACAAGCAGGAAAAACCCAUAUUGUGCAAUUCUUCCACAGGAAAAGUGAUCAUUAAUAUAAAUGGAGAGAAGCCCCCAAAAUGGGAAUCUUUUUUGUUGUUUGAGCUGCAUAUGGUAUUUCAUUAAGGUGGCUUGUGUAGGUUUUUUUUUUAAUGUCUUGUUCAAUUGAUAUUGUCAUGGGUAAUUGUGCUGUUUAAAAGGUAAAGAACAGAAACACAAAAAGAUUAUUUCUAGAAUAAUGUUUACAGUGUGAAAUUCUCAGCUAGUCAGGCUCUUUCCCUUUCUCUGCUUGUUACUUUAGACCUAAUCCCCCAUUCUCUCAAUUCUUAGCAUAGAAAAUAUGUACUAAAGCUGGUACUGCUUCCAUUUUUUCACCACCUUAUCUCACAAACCUGAAAUAAUAUUUUUCCAUAUAAGUCUUAAUGUACUUGCACCUAACAGGAAUGAAGGGGCACAGGGAUGAAUUAAAAUGUGUUCAGUGGUUUAUAGCCAGUCUAAACCUCAAAGAACACCAGUUUGUGUUUAGCCAUGAUCCUGCAAAGCUUCCAGGGGCCACAGCUCAGCAAGGGCCAGGCUCUCCUGCAGCAAGUACAGCCCAAAUCAGAGCAGCAAAAUCCUGCUGGGAUCCACAGACAAACAGAGGGGGUUUAAGAACCAGGAAAACCACAAGUUAAGAGUACUAUUCCUAAUAUUGUGUAGUCUUGGCAGGAGGGAUACCCAUGAGGAUAAAUAUUCCAGAUUUCAGGAAUGGAUUCUCAGGCAGUGAUUUAGAGUAUUUAAAGGCCAAGGAAACAAGAGAGAAAUAAGUGGCUUAGAGUUAAGCAAGGGGGGAUUUUUGCCCCUGACCACUGGAACAGGACUCUGCUCCACUCCAGUUCACAUCCCUGAAGCCACAGCUGUGCCGCCAGAAACUUCCAUCAGAAGUGCUCAGCAUUGCCUCACAUGUUUAGGAUGAGCUCCCUCCACCAUCAAAACUUCAGAUGCCCAAAAAUCCACCUGGAAAUCUGGAUCAUUUCAGACUGCACUAGGACAUAACACAGAGGACAUGAAGUCACUGAGGAAGGAGUAAUUGCAAGGAGGGACUGAUGAGUAUAGAGGAAGGCCAGCAAAAGGGUACAAAACAACAAGGCCGAAAAACUGGUAAGAGAAAGAGAAAAUGGUUAAGUGACACCAUAAUGCUUUACUGGCUCUAAAGCAAGGGAAAAUUAUUAAAGCAUUCAUUUAUUCUAUUUCAGCCAAAGAAAAAACAUAGGGCAUAAAAAGAGAAGAAAAAAAAGUACAGAAUGUAGAACAUGUGAAGAAAAAAGGCAGCAAAGGAAGAGGAAAUGAAGAGAGAGGAGAAACAAGUGCUGGAAGUAGAGGAGUGGAUGGUGGGGGAGGAGGCAGCACAAAGAGAUCUGAUGAACAGGGCUUUUAGCCUUGUGAUCAGACAAGAUCCUCCCUCCUCUUGUGAAUCCUUCUGUGAAAAAAAGGAAAAAUUCCCAACUACAACUGCAACCUGAUGAAAUUAAAAUUAAUUAAAGCAGAAGUAGUUUUACAAUGUUCACACUGCACAGAUAAGUAUCCUUAGUCUUAUUUUAUAUGUCUGGUAUGGUUUCCAUCCCUUUCACAUCAUAGUGCUGGUUUCAGUUCUGUGAGAGGUGGAACAGCCCAUUUUAGGGCCAUUCUUUGUGGCACAACUAUUAAAUCACAAGCAUAGUAAUGGGAGAAUAUGUUCCCUGAGAUCUCUGCACCAACAAGAGGGAGAAAGGUUUGGGAAGUCCACUAAAAAUAGGAGUAGGCUUGUACAAGACAACUGAGCAUGGUCAGACAGCAGCCUACAGUGGGGUGGACCAGGGUGUGAAUUUUGCAGUUUGCAUUUUCUUGCAGCUGUAGUUGUCCUGCAUCCUCCGUGCAGCACUCCAGCCCUGUGCUUUGUGCACCAUUCCAGUCAGAUUGCUGGGGAGAGAGACAAAGGAUAAAAUCAAAACUGCUCUGGAAAUGCACUGUACAUGGCAGUGUUGGGCACAGUGGUGAGAGGUUUAAAAAAAAGAGUUUGACUCUAACCCAAGAAUCAAAAUUAAUGUCAGAGAAUUUAAUGCAACACAAGGUGUGAUGGAACAAAGACUGUUGGGGGGUCUCAUUUUGUUCAGUUAUGACAAGCAUUUUUCAGCACUUUAAAAGAAACAACAGCGUAAUGGUUUUCACUGAAUUGUAUGAAAAAACAGGAUAACUUUAACAAAUAUCACAAAACAUGUCACAAAUCAAUUGUAUUGAAAAUAUAUUAGGUUUCUUUAAAAGACAAGAUCAGAAAAGGAAGCAGCACAAGCAGGAGGAGAGACAGCACACAAAGAUUUACUUCUGAGUGCUACAAAAUAUUGAACUAAAAAUAACAUUAAAGAUGAAAUUUGCAAUGAAUCUCAAGCUGCUAAAUUCCCAAAGGCUGGGUCUGCCAAAGGCUCUGUUGGUUUCCUCUGUUCUUUUCUGUCUUUAUUUAAAUAUUUUAUACAGUUGUCUAUGUUCAUGUGUAGUGCGAACUGUCAUUUAUAUUUCAGUCCACUCUAAAAUGGAUCUUAGACUAUCUCAAGCUGUGCACUGCAGCCAGGAGUUGGGAGCUGAGAGAAAGAGCGAUGAACAUGUAUCAGAAGAGAAAUCAGCUGCUGCUUGGUGCCUUGUCCUUGUUCUCCCCUCUCGUUUGCUGAUGGCUGAUAACACCUUAUCUCCACCAGGGAAGCAACUGGGAAGUUUGCUCCUUCCUCACAAGACUGAGGGUAUAAUUAGAACCACGCACCUGCUCAGUCCUCCAGUGACUCAGUUAGUCUACAUCCAUGUCAAAAUCCAUGC
Zonotrichia albicollis (white-throated sparrow) is the source of this 3318-nucleotide non-coding RNA. NCBI's taxonomy places the organism in Eukaryota, Metazoa, Chordata, Aves, Passeriformes, Passerellidae. The record is from RefSeq and is a predicted model, not a curated record.